GGAUCCCCCGGGCUGCAGCCCAAUGUGGAAUUCGCCCUUCGCCCGCCGCGCGCGGCGGGCGGGGCGGGGGCACGGGGGGCCUACGGGAGGCAGCAGUGGGGAAUAUUGGACAAUGGGCGAAAGCCUGAUCCAGCCAUGCCGCGUGUGUGAAGAAGGCCUUCGGGUUGUAAAGCACUUUCAGUGGGGAAGAAAGCCUU
This 197-nucleotide ribosomal RNA is filed under the name uncultured Bifidobacterium sp. RNAcentral's name for it is "partial 16S ribosomal RNA". It matches the Rfam family "Bacterial small subunit ribosomal RNA", at positions 281 to 455 of the family's 1533-position model. Lineage: Bacteria; Bacillati; Actinomycetota; Actinomycetes; Bifidobacteriales; Bifidobacteriaceae. The record is from RNAcentral.